Molecule: long non-coding RNA, 836 nt
Organism: Rosa chinensis
Lineage: Eukaryota; Viridiplantae; Streptophyta; Magnoliopsida; Rosales; Rosaceae
Exons: 3
Source: RefSeq, a predicted model, not a curated record
CUUGUUGUUGCCUACUUGCCUCGCUAACUUGCUGCUGCAUAUGUUCCUCAAAUACAUUGCAGGUCUUUCUUCAAACACAAUUGUGACAUUGGAGGUUUCCUUAUUCAUGCUUCCCAAGGUGACGUUGUAAAAGGAAUGCAUAUGGAAAGUUCUGUAUGAGCAUUUAAGCCUUAUUUCCGAGUUUUGGAUGAAAAGACGCUCUUAAUCAAGCAGAAUAAGAUACUUAUUUUGUGUGCCAUUGCUCUCUCAUUAGACCCCCUUUUCUGUUAUAUGCUGCUCGUUCAUGGUGAGAAGAAGUGCCUCGGAUUGGACAGAACGCUGCGUACCAUAGCUAUUGUUUCGCGAUCGGCCAUCGACUUCUUGUACAUGUUGCAUAUAAUUUUUCAAUUCUGUGCUACUCGUUCUAUUAAUCCAGUCGACAUACUUGUGAUUCUUCCUCUUCACAGGUGCUAGUUUUUGCUAUCAUUCCAGAACUGAACAACUUGAGGGUUUUAAAAGCAACAGAGUCAUUGAAUUUCAUAUUUAUCUUUCAAUAUGUGCCGAGGUUUCUUCAGAUUUGCUCCUGGUUGAAAAAAGAUCUAGGGUCUUCUAGUAUCCUGGCGAAAUCUACAUGGGCUAAUCUCUUCUUUUUUAUGCUGGCCAGCAUGUAAGUUCCAUGCCAUUUUGAUGUAAUCAGUGAACUUUUACUUGAAAAGGCUUGUACAUUUCUAUUUUUAUGGGAGGUUUGUAUGAGGUUGCAUACAGCUUAAGAAACUCAGAAGUUAUGAGAAACCAAAGCAUGAGACUAACCUAUGCACUCAGUUCCUUAUAAACCCUAAUUGCCUAUAAUUGUUACU